AGUGAACGCUGGCGGUAGGCCUAACACAUGCAAGUCGAACGGCAGCACAGUAAGAGCUUGCUCUUACGGGUGGCGAGUGGCGGACGGGUGAGGAAUAAAUCGGAAUCUACUUUUUCGUGGGGGAUAACGUAGGGAAACUUACGCUAAUACCGCAUACGACCUACGGGUGAAAGCAGGGGAUCUUCGGACCUUGCGCGAUUGAAUGAGCCGAUGUCGGAUUAGCUAGUUGGCGGGGUAAAGGCCCACCAAGGCGACGAUCCGUAGCUGGUCUGAGAGGAUGAUAAGCCACACUGGAACUGAGACACGGUCCAGACUCCUACGGGAGGCAGCAGUGGGGAAUAUUGGACAAUGGGCGCAAGCCUGAUCCAGCCAUACCGCGUGGGUGAAGAAGGCCUUCGGGUUGUAAAGCCCUUUUGUUGGGAAAGAAAAGCAGCAGGUUAAUACCCCGCUGUUCUGACGGUACCCAAAGAAUAAGCACCGGCUAACUUCGUG
Molecule: ribosomal RNA, 492 nt
Filed under: uncultured bacterium
Lineage: Bacteria
Description: partial 16S ribosomal RNA
Rfam family: Bacterial small subunit ribosomal RNA
Source: RNAcentral